AUCCAAAGAACACCCCACCUACUGUGAAGCAUAGGGGGGAAACAUCAUGCUUUGGGGAUGUUUUUCUGCAAAGGGACCAGGAUGACUGGUCCAUGUAAAGGAAAGAAUGAAUAGGGCCAUGUAUCGUGAGAUUUUGAGUGAAAACCUCCUUUCAUCAGCAAGGGCAUUGAAUAUGAAACGUGGCUGGGUCUUUGAGCAUGACAAUGAUCCCAAACACACCGCGCGGGCAACGAAGGAGUGGCUUCGUAAGAAUUAUUUCAAGGUCCUGGAGUGGCCUACAGUGUGAUUUUCUGGAUUUUUUUUCUCAUUUUGUCUUUCAUAGUUGAAGUGUACCUAUGAUGAAAAUGACCUCUCUCAUCUUUUUAAGUGGGAGAACUUGCACAAUUGGUGGCUGACUAAAUACUUUUUUGCCCCACUGUAAAGGGCAGGUAAUCAAGGAGUUGAUGGAGUCCAGGUGAGUGUUAUUAUGUGCAUAACGAUGGUGACAGGUGUGCGCCUUAACGAGCAGCCUGGUGACCUAGAGGCCGGAGAGGGAGCACACGUGACAAUGUGGAACAAGUAAAGCGGUGUGAAUACUUUCUGAAGGCACUGUAUGUUCUCGGGCGGCAGGUAGCCUAGUGGUUAGAGCUUUGGGCCAGUCACUGAAAGUUUGCUGGGUUGAAUCCCCGAGCUGACAAGUCUCUGGAUCAGGGCCUAGUCCACAGUCUGUCUGUCCUGCACCGUCGAUUCAUUGAAGUAGAAGUCUUCAUCCAAAUCGAGAGUCCAAUCCCAUCAACAUCUGCAGUGGAAUGAACAUCAAGCUCAGCACCCGGAACUAGUUACAUCUGUGACGUACACAGCUGGACAGAGGAGGGGGAGGAAGUCCACUGUCAACACCCUGACCUGUACGAUGAUGAUCGUGGCAAGACGAAGUGGCUGUCCGUGGACUCAGUUGUGACCUCUCGGCAGUUGUGUUGGGCAAACGUUUCACAACAGAUCUCUCACACAUGGCCAGAUUCAAACAUACAGGCCAUCUGGAGGCAUUCCACAGUGCUCUACUGAAGUAUACCCCAAAGCACCAGUGUUUUGGGCUCCUAGGCAUGAAGGUGCGGACUCAUCUUGCUAUCCGGGAGCAUAAUGAGAAUGUGGGACACAAACAAGCCAGGACAGCCAAAGUAGACUUGCAGUACAAAGAAAUCUUCUGCAGAGGUUGAAGCAGUGGGUGGUGAAGAAAGUGUACAAGCCCAGAACCACUCAAUCAAUCACUCAGGAAGAGGCAAGACAGUGGUCUACAAGCAGCCAGAGUAACAGCUCUCCAAACACAACAUCCCUGCCGACAACGCCACAGCGCCAAAGCCUGCUAAUCCAACUGUCAUUGCCCAAGACAAGGUUCAACAGCUGAAGAACAUUCUGAAACUUGCCUGGAACAUUCAACCAACACAACAUCUAUAUUCAGUUAGACUGAUGUUGUAGUAUAACACAGAAUGCCCAGUAUGCUCACAAUUGCAUUCUGGUAUAGAUAUUGCUAACUCUUGUACAUAUGUAUAUAAAGGAGUAUGAUAAAAUAUUUUCUAUAAUAUUUAUUACAAGUGUACUGACAAGUUACUAAAUGUUUACAGUUGCAUCAGAAACCAGUACUGCCCUACCAAGCAAAAGUGCAGUAACGGAACAUUUGACCAAAAAUGACUUACUGACAUUUUUUAUACAUUAAAUACAUGCUUUAUCGUGUGGACAAAUGUCCUGCUUCCAUUGUGUUGUGUUAUGGAGAAAAUGGGGGGAAGGGAAAAAGCAGUAACUGCCUUCACUCACGUUCGCUACCGCCUUUUACCUCGGUGUCACAGACUUUUGGGUUGCAGUUUCUAUGGUUUAACUUGGUAUUAUACAGUAUAUUGUUAUUUGCUGGUACAAGUAUCAACCU
This is a long non-coding RNA of Oncorhynchus keta (chum salmon), 1897 nucleotides long. RefSeq lists it as uncharacterized. The record is from RefSeq and is a predicted model, not a curated record. The transcript has 6 exons. NCBI's taxonomy places the organism in Eukaryota, Metazoa, Chordata, Actinopteri, Salmoniformes, Salmonidae.